Leucoraja erinaceus (little skate) is the source of this 557-nucleotide long non-coding RNA. RefSeq lists it as uncharacterized. Lineage: Eukaryota; Metazoa; Chordata; Chondrichthyes; Rajiformes; Rajidae. The record is from RefSeq and is a predicted model, not a curated record. The transcript is spliced from 2 exons.
CACUAGAAAAGGAUGGCUUAACAUGUUCCAGUAAAUUCCCUUCCCCUCAGCCCUCCUACCUUGCUCUGAAGGGACUGGCCGAUGAAAUAAGAAGAAAUGAACCAACAUAAAUUGUCAGCCUGUCAUCCCUCAUCUACCCACUGUCUGUAAGAAUGAGCUCUAGGUGGGGAGACUCGCAGCCAACGGAGCCUGGGUCGACAGAGCCCAUGGCCGACCGCUGCACCUGGGGCCAGGGUAGGUGCCGCAGAGGCACAGGAGGGGACCCGGCGGUGGUCUUGGAAGAGGUUGGUGCGGCAGUCGAUGAGGGUGCUGGUCGGGGUCGGAGGUCAUGGAGGGCAAGGACGGGCCACGUGUGAGUUGAAGGACCCGGCGUGGGAUGACCGCUGUGAGAGGAAGGGAAGGGGGUGGGGGAAACAAAAGUGGACCUGGCGCAAGCUACUUUGUAACUUUGUCAAUGCCCUUUAUGUGGUGAUUAUUUGCAUACCUUGGGUAUGCAAGCAAAGAAUUUCACUGUGACUUAUCACAUGUGAUAAUAAAGCAUUCAUUCAUUCAUUCAU